UGUGGCCUACGGGAGGCAGCAGUGGGGGAUAUUGCACAAUGGGGGGAACCCUGAUGCAGCGACGCCGCGUGGGUGAAGAAGCGCCUCGGCGCGUAAAGCCCUGUCAGCAGGGAAGAAAAUGACGGUACCUGAAGAAGAAGCCCCGGCUAACUACGUGCCAGCAGCCGCGGUAAUACGUAGGGGGCAAGCGUUAUCCGGAUUUACUGGGUGUAAAGGGAGCGUAGACGGCAUUGCAAGUCCGGAGUUAAAGCCCACGGCCCAACCGUGGGACUGCUCUGGAAACUGUAGAGCUGGAGUGCGGGAGG
This 305-nucleotide ribosomal RNA is filed under the name uncultured bacterium. RNAcentral describes it as "bacterial SSU rRNA". It matches the Rfam family "Bacterial small subunit ribosomal RNA", at positions 333 to 655 of the family's 1533-position model. The record is from RNAcentral.